UACAGAGGUCCCAAGCGUUGUUCGGAUUCACUGGGCGUAAAGGGUGCGUAGGUGGUGAGGUAAGUCGGAUGUGAAAUCUCCAAGCUCAACUUGGAAACUGCAUUGGAAACUACCUUGCUAGAGGAUUUGAGGGGGGAUUGGAAUACUUGGUGUAGCAGUGAAAUGCGUAGAUAUCAAGUGGAACACCAGUGGCGAAGGCGAAUCCCUGGAAAAUACCUGACACUGAGGCACGAAAGCUAGGGGAGCGAACGGG
Molecule: ribosomal RNA, 253 nt
Filed under: uncultured bacterium
Lineage: Bacteria
Description: partial 16S ribosomal RNA
Rfam family: Bacterial small subunit ribosomal RNA
Source: RNAcentral